CCCUUAGAUGUCCUGGGCCGCACGCGCGCUACACUGAGUGUCUGAGAUACGAGUCUGCCUGGUCCGGCAAGGUCUAGGUAAUCGCUAAAAGACACAUCAUGCUUGGGAUAGAUUAUUGCAAAUAUUAAUCUUGAACGAGGAAUUCCUAGUAAGCGCAAGUCAAUAGCUUGCGUUGAUUACGUCCCUGCCCUUUGUACACACCGCCCGUCGCUACUACUGAUUGGAUGUUUAAGCGAGGUUCUCGAACUGCUAGCGACUUAGCUUCGGUGAGGUCGCAGUGUGGGAAGUGAACCUAGCUUUGGUGUCUAGAGGAAGUAAAAGUCGUAACA
This 329-nucleotide ribosomal RNA is filed under the name uncultured eukaryote. Its description in RNAcentral is "partial 18S ribosomal RNA". It matches the Rfam family "Eukaryotic small subunit ribosomal RNA", at positions 1470 to 1796 of the family's 1831-position model. The record is from RNAcentral.